RNAcentral lists this ribosomal RNA (976 nucleotides) under uncultured bacterium. RNAcentral describes it as "bacterial SSU rRNA". It matches the Rfam family "Bacterial small subunit ribosomal RNA", at positions 521 to 1482 of the family's 1533-position model. The record is from RNAcentral.
UAAUACGUAAGGAGCGAGCGUUGUCCGGAUUUACUGGGCGUAAAGGGCUCGUAGGUGGUUUCUUAGGUCUCACGUGAAAUUCCCUGGCUCAACCAGGGAGGGUCGUGGGAAACCGAGAGGCUAGAGGGCAGGAGAGGAGAGUGGAAUUUCCGGUGUAGCGGUGAAAUGCGUAGAGAUCGGGAGGAACACCAGUGGUGAAGACGGCUCUCUGGACUGUCCCUGACACUGAGGAGCGAAAGCCAGGGGAGCAAACCGGAUUAGAUACCCGGGUAGUCCUGGCCGUAAACGAUGGGUACUAGGUGUGGGGGGUUCGACCCCCUCCGUGCCGCAGUUAACGCAUUAAGUACCCCGCCUGGGGAGUACGGCCGCAAGGUUGAAACUCAAAGGAAUUGACGGGGGCCCGCACAAGCGGUGGAGCAUGUGGUUUAAUUCGAUGCAACGCGAGGAACCUUACCAGGGCUUGACAUGCUGGUGGUAGGAGCCCGAAAGGGUAACGACCUCUGGUUUACCAGAGGAGCCAGUACAGGUGCUGCAUGGUUGUCGUCAGCUCGUGUCGUGAGAUGUUGGGUUAAGUCCCACAACGAGCGCAACCCCUGUCCUUAGUUGCCACAGGUAAUGCUGAGCACUCUAAGGAGACUGCCAGGGACAACCUGGAGGAAGGUGGGGAUGACGUCAAAUCCUCAUGGCCCUUAUGUCCUGGGCGACACACGUGCUACAAUGGCCAGUACAGAGGGUUGCAAACCCGUAAGGGGGAGCCAAUCCCAGAAAACUGGCCCCAGUUGGGAUUGUCGGCUGCAACUCGCCGACAUGAACGAGGAAUCGCUAGUAAUCGCGCAUCAGCCACGGCGCGGUGAAUACGUUCCCGGGCCUUGUACACACCGCCCGUCACACCACGAAAGUCGAUUCCACCUGAAGUCAUCGGGCUAACCCCUUAAAGGGGAGGCAGGUGCCUAGGGUGGGGUUGAUGAUUGGGGUG